This 373-nucleotide ribosomal RNA is filed under the name uncultured organism. RNAcentral's name for it is "partial 16S ribosomal RNA". It matches the Rfam family "Bacterial small subunit ribosomal RNA", at positions 527 to 896 of the family's 1533-position model. The record is from RNAcentral.
GUAGGUGGCAAGCGUUGUCCGGAAUUAUUGGGCGUAAAGCGCGCGCAGGCGGUUCUUUAAGUCUGAUGUGAAAGCCCACGGCUCAACCAUGGAGGGUCAUUGGAAACUGGAGAACUUGAGUACAGAAGAGGAAAGCGGAAUUCCACGUGUAGCGGUGAAAUGCGUAGAGAUGUGGAGGAACACCAGUGGCGAAGGCGGCUUUCUGGUCUGUAACUGACGCUGAGGCGCGAAAGCGUGGGGAGCAAACAGGAUUAGAUACCCUGGUAGUCCACGCCGUAAACGAUGAGUGCUAAGUGUUAGGGGGUUUCCGCCCCCCUUAGUGCUGCAGCUAACGCAUUAAGCACUCCGCCCUGGGAGUACGGCCGCAAGGCUG